This 225-nucleotide ribosomal RNA is filed under the name uncultured bacterium. RNAcentral describes it as "partial 16S ribosomal RNA". It matches the Rfam family "Bacterial small subunit ribosomal RNA", at positions 122 to 334 of the family's 1533-position model. The record is from RNAcentral.
CGACCUUGCCUCGUGGUGGGGGAUAGCCGGCCCAACGGCCGGGUAAUACCGCAUAGGGUAGUUUCUUCGCAUGGGGAGACUAGCAAAGCCGUGCAGCAAUGCACUGGCGCCACAGGGGGGCUCGCGGCCUAUCAGCUAGUUGGGGGGGUAAUGGCCCACCAAGGCGACGACGGGUAGCUGGUCUGAGAGGAUGGCCAGCCACAUUGGGACUGAGAGACGGCCCAG